CAACCUCCUCUUCACAGUGCGCAGCUCCUGCUGAGCCUCACACUUGAUGUCGUUGGCCACUACCACUGCAGUCUGUAAGUCUGCCUGGAAUCGCCUCCAUUCUUCUGUUUCCUCCUGAAAAGGACAGACUCCACGUUACCUCAGACACUAGCUUCAACAUCAGUGAAGAUGUGUCACUGUGCAUAACCGGCAUUUCCCCAGCGCAUCAAAGAAGCCUAGUGUUAGGAUGGAAGAACGACCGUCUCCUCUGUGUGGAUAUCCUGGACUGCUGUCUGACACUGAACUCAUGUUCACCAUCACGAAAGCUCAGGCCUGACCAAUGUUAUCUAACACACCUAUUUCUAUAGAUACCAUCACAGCCUUCUGCACCUAGGGACAGUAGACAGCACUUCAGCAUCGUAUCUGGGAGCAUUUCAAAUAAAAACCAUGAAAAAAA
This is a long non-coding RNA of Mus musculus (house mouse), 436 nucleotides long. RefSeq annotates it as predicted gene, 39985. NCBI's taxonomy places the organism in Eukaryota, Metazoa, Chordata, Mammalia, Rodentia, Muridae. The transcript has 2 exons. The record is from RefSeq and is a predicted model, not a curated record.